This 345-nucleotide unclassified non-coding RNA is filed under the name soil metagenome. Its description in RNAcentral is "partial contains 5.8S ribosomal RNA, internal transcribed spacer 2, and large subunit ribosomal RNA". The stretch from base 1 to 120 matches the Rfam family "5.8S ribosomal RNA", at positions 35 to 154 of the family's 154-position model. The record is from RNAcentral.
GAUGAAGAACUUAGCGAAAUGCGAUAAGUAAUGUGAAUUGCAGAAUUCAGUGAAUCAUCGAGUCUUUGAACGCACAUUGCGCCCCCUGGUAUUCCGGGGGGCAUGCCUGUCCGAGCGUCAUUGCUGCCCUCAAGCACGGCUUGUGUGUUGGGCCUCCGUCCUCCUCCCGGGGGACGGGCCCGAAAGGCAGCGGCGGCACCGCGUCCGGUCCUCGAGCGUAUGGGGCUUCGUCACCCGCUCUUGUAGGCCCGGCCGGCGCUUGCCGACACAUCAAUCUUUUUUCCAGGUUGACCUCGGAUCAGGUAGGGAUACCCGCUGAACUUAAGCAUAUCAAUAAGCGGAGGA